AGCGAACGCUGGCGGCAGGCUUAACACAUGCAAGUCGAACGGGCAUAGCAAUAUGUCAGUGGCAGACGGGUGAGUAACGCGUGGGAACGUACCUUUUGGUUCGGAACAACACAGGGAAACUUGUGCUAAUACCGGAUAAGCCCUUACGGGGAAAGAUUUAUCGCCGAAAGAUCGGCCCGCGUCUGAUUAGCUAGUUGGUAGGGUAAUGGCCUACCAAGGCGACGAUCAGUAGCUGGUCUGAGAGGAUGAUCAGCCACAUUGGGACUGAGACACGGCCCAAACUCCUGCGGGAGGCAGCAGUGGGGAAUAUUGGGCAAUGGGCGAAAGCCUGAUCCAGCCAUGCCGCGUGAGUGAUGAAGGCCCUAGGGUUGUAAAGCUCUUUUGUGCGGGAAGAUAAUGACGGUACCGAAAGAAUAAGCCCCGGCUAACUUCGUG
RNAcentral lists this ribosomal RNA (435 nucleotides) under uncultured bacterium. RNAcentral describes it as "partial 16S ribosomal RNA". It matches the Rfam family "Bacterial small subunit ribosomal RNA", at positions 29 to 507 of the family's 1533-position model. The record is from RNAcentral.